ACUGAUGUAUUCAACGAGUCUAUAGCCUUGGCCGACAAGCUUGGGUAAUCUUUGAAAUUUCAUCGUGAUGGGGAUAGAUCAUUGCAAUUGUUGGUCUUCAAU
This 102-nucleotide non-coding RNA is filed under the name Glycine soja. RNAcentral describes it as "Eukaryotic small subunit ribosomal RNA". It matches the Rfam family "Eukaryotic small subunit ribosomal RNA", at positions 1502 to 1604 of the family's 1831-position model. Lineage: Eukaryota; Viridiplantae; Streptophyta; Magnoliopsida; Fabales; Fabaceae. The record is from Rfam by way of RNAcentral.